CGAGUUUGAUCAUGGCUCAGAUUGAACGCUGGCGGAAUGCUUUACACAUGCAAGUCGAACGGCAGCACGGGGGCAACCCUGGUGGCGAGUGGCGGACGGGUGAGUAAUACAUCGGAACGUGCCCAGUCGUGGGGGAUAACGUAGCGAAAGCUACGCUAAUACCGCAUACGAUCUACGGAUGAAAGCGGGGGAUCGCAAGACCUCGCGCGAUUGGAGCGGCCGAUGGCAGAUUAGGUAGUUGGUGGGGUAAAGGCUCACCAAGCCUUCGAUCUGUAGCUGGUCUGAGAGGACGACCAGCCACACUGGGACUGAGACACGGCCCAGACUCCUACGGGAGGCAGCAGUGGGGAAUUUUGGACAAUGGGCGAAAGCCUGAUCCAGCCAUUCCGCGUGCAGGAUGAAGGCCCUCGGGUUGUAAACUGCUUUUGUACGGAACGAAACGGCCUUUUCUAAUACAGAGGGCUAAUGACGGUACCGUAAGAAUAAGCACCGGCUAACUACGUG
RNAcentral lists this ribosomal RNA (504 nucleotides) under uncultured bacterium. RNAcentral's name for it is "bacterial SSU rRNA". It matches the Rfam family "Bacterial small subunit ribosomal RNA", at positions 9 to 507 of the family's 1533-position model. The record is from RNAcentral.